CGACCAGGGCUACACACGUGCUACAAUGGCGCAUACAAAGAGAAGCGACCUCGCGAGAGCAAGCGGACCUCAUAAAGUGCGUCGUAGUCCGGAUUGGAGUCUGCAACUCGACUCCAUGAAGUCGGAAUCGCUAGUAAUCGUGGAUCAGAAUGCCACGGUGAAUACGUUCCCGGGCCUUGUACACACCGCCCGUCACACCAUGGGAGUGGGUUGCAAAAGAAGUAGGUAGCUUAACCUUCGGGAGGGCGCUUACCAC
Molecule: ribosomal RNA, 256 nt
Filed under: Salmonella enterica subsp. enterica serovar Give
Lineage: Bacteria; Pseudomonadati; Pseudomonadota; Gammaproteobacteria; Enterobacterales; Enterobacteriaceae
Description: partial 16S ribosomal RNA
Rfam family: Bacterial small subunit ribosomal RNA
Source: RNAcentral